CCUACGGGGUGCAGCAGUGAGGAAUAUUGGUCAAUGGACGAGAGUCUGAACCAGCCAAGUAGCGUGAAGGAUGACUGCCCUAUGGGUUGUAAACUUCUUUUAUAUGGGAAUAAAAUGUUCCACGUGUGGGCUUUUGUAUGUACCAUAUGAAUAAGGAUCGGCUAACUCCGUGCCAGCAGCCGCGGUAAUACGGAGGAUCCGAGCGUUAUCCGGAUUUAUUGGGUUUAAAGGGAGCGUAGGUGGAUUGUUAAGUCAGUUGUGAAAGUUUGCGGCUCAACCGUAAAAUUGCAGUUGAAACUGGCAGUCUUGAGUACAGUAGAGGUGGGCGGAAUUCGUGGUGUAGCGGUGAAAUGCUUAGAUAUCACGAAGAACUCCGAUUGCGAAGGCAGCUCACUGGACUGCAACUGACACUGAGGCUCGAAAGUGUGGGUAUCAAACAGGAUUAGAUACCCUAGUAGUC
RNAcentral lists this ribosomal RNA (460 nucleotides) under uncultured bacterium. RNAcentral describes it as "partial 16S ribosomal RNA". It matches the Rfam family "Bacterial small subunit ribosomal RNA", at positions 338 to 795 of the family's 1533-position model. The record is from RNAcentral.